UAAUUUUUAGAGUUACACUGAUAUACUAUCGGUAGCACGGAAGCCUCCGUGCUACCAAAUUAUUUUCAAUAAUGUGGCUUCCAAAUCAACGAUCGGCUCCGUUAGACUUGAUCUACAUUAUUAAAAGUAUUUAGAAACUAAAUUUCAUAAUUUUUCGACAUCAUUUACCUAUCAAACGAGUAGUCCAAAAAUGAACGGCUGAAAAUAAAAAUCUCAUAAAAAAUAAUGAUAGAAGAUUUGAAUUUAAGAUCAGAGGUACUGAUCUUACUCUAAAUAGUAAAGAGAAUUUUCUAUAAAAAUUUCAUCUGAUUUGGAUUGUUUUACAUCGUUGAAUUUACAAAUGCAUCACAGGUACUGAUCUUACUCUAAAUAGUAAAGAGAAUUUUCUAUAAAAAUUUCAUCUGAUUUGGAUUGUUUUACACCGUUGAAUUUACAAAUGCAUCACAGGUACUGAUCUUACUCUAAAUAGUAAAGAGAAUUUUCUAUAAAAAUUUCAUCUGAUUUGGAUUGUUUUACACCGUUGAAUUUACAAAUGCAUCACAGGUACUGAUCUUACUCUAAAUAGUAAAGAGAAUUUUCUAUAAAAAUUUCAUCUGAUUUGGAUUGUUUUACACCGUUGAAUUUACAAAUGCAUCACAGGUACUGAUCUUACUCUAAAUAGUAAAGAGAAUUUUCUAUAAAAAUUUCAUCUGAUUUGGAUUGUUUUACACCGUUGAAUUUACAAAUGCAUCACAGGUACUGAUCUUACUCUAAAUAGUAAAGAGAAUUUUCUAUAAAAAUUUCAUCUGAUUUGGAUUGUUUUACACCGUUGAAUUUACAAAUGCAUCACAGGUACUGAUCUUACUCUAAAUAGUAAAGAGAAUUUUCUAUAAAAAUUUCAUCUGAUUUGGAUUGUUUUACACUGUUGAAUUUACAAAUACAUCACAUCUACCAUUAAAAUUGUCAAUUUUGAGACCUUUUGAUCACUAGUCAAAUGAUGUCGAAAAAUUAUGAAAUUUAGUUUCCAAAUAUUUUUAAUAGUGUAGAUCAAGUCUAACGGAGCCGAUCAUCGAUUUAGAAGCCGCAUCAUUGAAAACAACUUGGUAGCACGAAAACCUCCGUGCUACCGAUAGUAUACCAGCCUAGCUCAUAUAUAUCUAAUAGUGCAAUUUUCAUUAAAACAAUACAAAUUUUUUUUAAACAGUGUAAUCUUAUUUAAACAGUGCAAUUUUAUCAUCUUCUUUCUUUUUUUUAAUAUUUUUUUGAUCUUUUUUGUAUGAAAAAAAUAUUUUUUAUUUUUAUUUUUUUAUUAUUCUUAUUUUUUUUCUGUAUAAAUUUUUUUUUCUCACAACCUCUCUCUUGCUUUUUAUCGCAACCACCGCGACGUCGCCGGAGGCAAUCUCGCC
Molecule: long non-coding RNA, 1385 nt
Filed under: Ananas comosus (pineapple)
Lineage: Eukaryota; Viridiplantae; Streptophyta; Magnoliopsida; Poales; Bromeliaceae
Description: long non-coding RNA (ACOM_LNC007497)
Source: RNAcentral